This 254-nucleotide ribosomal RNA is filed under the name uncultured bacterium. Its description in RNAcentral is "partial 16S ribosomal RNA". It matches the Rfam family "Bacterial small subunit ribosomal RNA", at positions 524 to 776 of the family's 1533-position model. The record is from RNAcentral.
UACGGAGGGGGCUAGCGUUGUUCGGAAUUACUGGGCGUAAAGCGCACGUAGGCGGCUUUGUAAGUUAGAGGUGAAAGCCCGGGGCUCAACCCCGGAAUUGCCUUUAAGACUGCAUCGCUAGAAUUGUGGAGAGGUAAGUGGAAUUCCGAGUGUAGAGGUGAAAUUCGUAGAUAUUCGGAAGAACACCAGUGGCGAAGGCGACUUACUGGACACAUAUUGACGCUGAGGUGCGAAAGCGUGGGGGAGCAAACAGG